CAUGUUUAAGGUAGUAAGAAGUCAUUUCCUUAUUCAUACAAUGAACUAUCUAAUAAAGAUUAUGGUUGUUUUUAAUAUAAAUGAUAAUGUGUUUAUUUGUGCCGUCAGAUAUCAUCGCUUCGUCGAAUAAGAUAGAUAUCAAGAUGUACUUUCUUUACCUUACUACUAUGGUCGGAGUUGUAGCUGCGAUACCAGCUAUUACAAUGCCUGCUCAGGAAAUUAGGUCUUCGACUGCAGGUCAAGACGCGCCUCAAUCACCACCACUAGAAGUCGCAUUACGAGUUGUCAAUGAAGAUAUUGAAAUAAAAAAUGUUGCAUUAAAAAAAGCCGAAGAAUCAUCAGGUGUACAGAAAUCUGAACCAGACACUGGUUCAGUACUUCUUGAGAAAAAGAACGAUACCAGUGUAUUAUUUGGAGAACCUCCACGGGAAAGUGAUCUUCGUGGGUUGUCAGGAUUUUGGUCAACUAUAACAUCUCUAUUGCCUUCGAUGCCUUUUAGUAUCCCACUCACAUCACUGCCAGCAUUACCAAUAUCAGUACCUUUAACCAAUAUGAAUGUUAUAUAGCCUGCAAUAAUUAGUCAACCAUGAAAGUUAUUUGAAAUAUAAUAAAGUCUAAGUCGUAUUGUA
Leptidea sinapis is the source of this 629-nucleotide long non-coding RNA. RefSeq lists it as uncharacterized. NCBI's taxonomy places the organism in Eukaryota, Metazoa, Arthropoda, Insecta, Lepidoptera, Pieridae. The transcript has 2 exons. The record is from RefSeq and is a predicted model, not a curated record.